Molecule: ribosomal RNA, 167 nt
Filed under: uncultured bacterium
Lineage: Bacteria
Description: partial 16S ribosomal RNA
Rfam family: Bacterial small subunit ribosomal RNA
Source: RNAcentral
UACGGGAGGCAGCAGCAGGGAAUAUUGCACAAUGGGCGAAAGCCUGAUGCAGCGACACCGCGUGCGGGAUGACGGCCUUAGGGUUGUAAACCGCUUUCGGGAGGGAAGGAAAUGACGGUACCUCCUAAAGAAGCUCCGGCCAACUACGUGCCAGCAGCCGCGGUAAU